Molecule: ribosomal RNA, 72 nt
Filed under: vouchered mycorrhizae (Humaria)
Lineage: Eukaryota; Fungi; Ascomycota; Pezizomycetes; Pezizales; Pyronemataceae
Description: partial 18S ribosomal RNA
Rfam family: Eukaryotic small subunit ribosomal RNA
Source: RNAcentral
UUUCUUGGUCAUUUANGANGAAGUAAAAGUCGUAACNAGGUUUCCGUAGGUGAACCUGCGGAAGGAUCAUUA